Molecule: ribosomal RNA, 253 nt
Filed under: uncultured bacterium
Lineage: Bacteria
Description: partial 16S ribosomal RNA
Rfam family: Bacterial small subunit ribosomal RNA
Source: RNAcentral
UACGUAGGGUGCGAGCGUUGUCCGGAAUUAUUGGGCGUAAAGAGCUUGUAGGCGGUUUGUCGCGUCUGCUGUGAAAAUCCGGGGCUCAACCCCGGACUUGCAGUGGGUACGGGCAGACUGGAGUGUGGUAGGGGAGACUGGAAUUCCUGGUGUAGCGGUGGAAUGCGCAGAUAUCAGGAGGAACACCCGUAGCGAAGGCGGCACUCUGGGCCGGUACUGACGCUGAGGAGCGAAAGCGUGGGGAGCAAACAGG